Molecule: long non-coding RNA, 178 nt
Organism: Melitaea cinxia (Glanville fritillary)
Lineage: Eukaryota; Metazoa; Arthropoda; Insecta; Lepidoptera; Nymphalidae
Exons: 3
Source: RefSeq, a predicted model, not a curated record
GCAGCUUUACUGGAAUUCAUGGAAAGCCAUGGCGAUUUAACAAGGCCGCAGCAAGGUCUCCAAGGUCGAAUAAAAGCUGACCGACUGUGGCAGGAACUAGGAGAGCUGCUUAACUCGCUUGGUGGAGGAGUAACAAAGCCAGUGGACAAAUGGAAAAAAGUGUGGGCAGAUUGGAAAA